Molecule: long non-coding RNA, 1516 nt
Filed under: Macaca fascicularis (crab-eating macaque)
Lineage: Eukaryota; Metazoa; Chordata; Mammalia; Primates; Cercopithecidae
Description: lncRNA (ENSMFAG00000063447.1)
Source: RNAcentral
AACUGCUGCCUUCCUUCUCCAGAUUCAGGGGAGGUAGUCUCCCCGCCUUCUUAGUAUUCUCAUCUCCAGAUCUCAGUGUGGGCUGUUGCCUCUGUAUGGAAUGCCCUACCUUCUUCAUCACUACAUUUCACCUGUCCUUCCAGACCAGAGAAGAUGCCUCCUCCACCCAGUCUGUCCUACCCACUAGCUGGAAGCAAUACCUUCUUUCCCUAAAUGCCCACAGCACUUGGUUCAUGCCUUGCUUAUGCAUGUAUCCCACUCUCCUUUGCAUCAUGCAUGUUGGGCAUGGGUCUGCUCUCCCCACCAUUCUUAGGGAGACCUCCACCUAAGUCCUCGCUUCCUACACAGUGCUUUACACAGUGCCUGAUACUUAGUAAGUGCUCGGUGAAGUGAAUCAGACAACGUAAGAGUGUCUCUGGGCCUCCUGGGUGUUCACGGGCCAGUUCUGAAGGUGCAUGGAGGUAUAUUUCCAUUUUAUAGAUGAAGGAAUUGAGGGUCAGGGAGGCCAACUGGUUUUGCUCAAAGCCAAAUAGCCAGUAAGAAGUGGAGACAUCAGCGUGGGUAACAUGGCAAAACCUUGUCUCCACUAAAAAUACAAAAAUUAGAGGCUGGGCGCAGUGGCUCACGCCUGUAAUACCAGCACGCCUAUAAUACCAGCACUUUGGGAGGCCGAGGUGAGCAGGUCACGAGGUCAGGAGUUUGAGACCAGCUUGGCCAAUAUGGUGAAACCUCAUCUGUACUAAAAAAAUACAAAAAUUAGCCAGGCGUGGUGGCAUGCACCUGUAGUCCUAGCUACUUGGGGAGCUGUGGCAGGAGAAUCUCUUGAACUUGGGAGGCGGAGGUUGCAGUGAGCUGAGAUAGCACCACUGCACUCCAGCCAGGGUGACAGAGCGAAACUCUGUGUCAAAAAACAAACAAACAUACAAACAAACAAAACCCAAAAAUUAGCCGGGCAUGGUGAUGCGCACCUGUAGUCUUAGCUACUCGGGACUCCAGCCUGGGCGACGGAGCGAGAUUCUGUCUCAAAAACAAACAAACAAAAAAAGAAAACCCAAAAAUUAGCGGGGCAUGGUGGUGCGCACCUGUAGUCUUAGCUACUCGGAGACUGAGAUGAGAGGACAGCCUGAGCCUAGGCGGUCGAGGCUGCAGUGAGCUGUGAUCAGGCCACCGCACUCCGUCUUAAAGUAAAAAUAGAGACAGACUUCAAAGUCAGGUCUAUGGGGGCAGUUUAUUAAUUGGGGAGACUUCUGCAGAUAACAGGUUCAAACUACGAAAUAAUAAUAAGUGGUAGAAACAACCAAACCAGCACCCCUUAAGAGAAGGAUGUUCUGAGCACACUUCCGAUCUAUUGAUUGGACGAGCCAUAAGCAUGCUGACUCUGUGGGACCACGGGGAGGUCAUUCUGCCCAAGGGCUCAGUAUUCUGGAAAUGUUGUCUUGACUGGAUUUCCUUGAGGUCUUGGGGCCCCUGGAACAUUUCCUCUGUAGAGAAAUUGCUCUCCACUGCUCUGCUUACU